Picea glauca (white spruce) is the source of this 557-nucleotide non-coding RNA. The record is from Rfam. Lineage: Eukaryota; Viridiplantae; Streptophyta; Pinopsida; Pinales; Pinaceae.
UAACAUAAAGUGAUUUAUGCCCAAUGCUUUGUAUGUCAAACCGAAGAAAUUCAACCAAGAGCAGGUAAACAGUGGGAGUGAUUAUGAAUCUCUUAAGGUAGUCAGAUGCCCCUGUGUCAUCUAAUUAGUAACGCACAUGAAUGGAUUAACGAUAUUCCCACUAUCCCAAGAUACUAUCUAGAGAAACCACAUCCAAGGGAACGAACUUUGCAGAAUUAGAGGGGAAAUAAGACCCUGUUGAGGUUGACUCUAAUCUGACUUUGUGAAAUGACUUGAGAGGUGUAGAAUAAAUGGGAGUUGUUUUCAACGCAAGUGAAAUACCAUUACUUUUAACGUAAUUUUACUUAUUCAGUGGGGUAUAGAUGAGGCCGCAUUGCACAUAUGUUAAAAUUUAAUGCACAUUUCCUUAAAGUGUUUUCCUUUAUGCCAAUGGUCAAAAGUUCAUUCUUUACACACUUGAUGGCAAUGAGUUUAGGAAAACAAAGAGGAUAAUUUAUUUUAAGGAUGAAGAAAGUUCCUACAAUCCCUAUUUUUUUAGCCAACAUCCCCCUAUAAGU